Mirounga angustirostris (Northern elephant seal) is the source of this 1139-nucleotide long non-coding RNA. RefSeq lists it as uncharacterized. The record is from RefSeq and is a predicted model, not a curated record. The transcript has 2 exons. Lineage: Eukaryota; Metazoa; Chordata; Mammalia; Carnivora; Phocidae.
GGUCCCAAACCCCCACGUCUGCAAGGAUCAAACCCUGGCCAAGAAGGGGGAAGGUGCGGAGGCCUUGUGUUGGAGGCACCGAGGGUAAUUUUAGCAGUUUGCUGCGGGGGAGCCGUGUCUGUGUUGGAGACCGGAGGCCACUCCCGGGUGUCUCCCCGGUAACUCUGCUCUCGGCACUGGUGGGCGUCAGGGCAGGCCGCCCGCGGCACUGGGCCUGUAAACACGGCCCUUGGUCUGGCUGUCUCGGGGGAUGACGGCUUCUGAAAUAACUUUAUAAUUAGCAAACCUUUCGGGUGGCUGUUUCCUUCUCUGGCACACGGAAUAACUGCUGAAAUUAUUAUUUCUAUUAACCAGACUGCCCCGAUUUCUAAGGACCGACAGGCACCGAGUGAGACGUGUAAAGCUUUCCACAGGUGAUGGAUCCACGUGGGUCUGGGGCCAUCGUGUUCUUGGGGAGUGACCCACCGGGCUGGCGCAACACCCCAGGGAUGUCCCUGCUGACUCUGACGACCCUAAUGAAAGCCAGCUGAACUCGGUCGGCUUCUUGGCGACACGGCCUGACUUCCCUGAAUCUGGGGCCUUCCACGGACAGGAGCCGGGCACUUCCUUGUUCUUUUGGAUCGAGUCUGAGUUGGGUGUCUGUCACUUGCAACCAAAGGAGUCCGGGUCGAAGUAGCCAGUGAUGGCCACAAUUCGGGGGAAAAAAGUAACCUGGCAGUCCAAGGGCUUGAAAACCCACAGAGUAGCACCAGGGGCUCAAGAACACUUGAAGGAGGAUUUCUGAGGCUGGUUCCCUGGCCUGCAUCCCGGCAGGUGACCCCAGCUGACCUGCAGCUUUCCCUCCUCCUCCUGCCUUCAAAAUCUCCCCUCCUUUUCUUCCUGGGCCGUUGAUGAUUGCUGUGGUUAUCACUGCUGUCCUAUCGGAGUCUGUUGUCCGAUUACAAAAUAAUUCAUGUUUACUGGGUCAUUUUAAACCCCACAUUUCCAUACAUUUAAAAGAAUUUUGCUGUAUAAAAACCUCUCAUUACAGCAUUAUCUCCGGAGGGCAAAUGCUAGAAAUAACACCCAUAUUCAGUGACAGGGAUAGGAACGUUCAUUAGGACGCUUCCGUCCCAUGGGCUGUAACGCACGUGUGGAAA